Long non-coding RNA from Poecilia latipinna (sailfin molly), 2471 nucleotides. RefSeq lists it as uncharacterized. The record is from RefSeq and is a predicted model, not a curated record. NCBI's taxonomy places the organism in Eukaryota, Metazoa, Chordata, Actinopteri, Cyprinodontiformes, Poeciliidae. The transcript is spliced from 2 exons.
ACAAGGAGGGAAGGUUAACCAGGCUCAGGUGAAAGCAGUCAGGCAAUUAAAUGUGAGAAGAGAGGAAGUGAAGGGAUAAACUGAAACAGGAAGUACAGACUUUAUUCAGAAACCAACAGAAACAGGUGGACUAAGGCUCAGGGAGCAGAUAAAGGAAAACAUAGAACAAAAUAUACAGAGACUUCACCAAACCAGUGCUAAGAAAAUUUUACCAGAAGACGAGAAGAGCUUUAGUUUUGAGGCUGAGAAGAUUUCCAAGAGUCCCAACUUCCGUGCAACCUCAGCUUUGUUCUUUUUUCUUAUUCAAAUCAUUUUUGCUCUCUUUUGUCUUUUUCUAUUUGUCUUAUUUACUGCUGCUUCUGUUGUCAUCCAUGUCUCAGUUUUUCCCACUUUAUCCAUUUCCUAUGUGUAUGCAAUAUUUCUACCCUUCUUUCCCUUCAUUCUUAAAAUAUUUAGUUGGCUACCUUUACAAAAGUACCGUCUAGCAACAGCAAUUAUAAGCAAACGAAAGACGAGGGAAAUUUAGAUUGAUACAGUAAGAUGGAUUAAUACAGACAGCAAAACCAAGGAGGACGUUUAUAAAAGAGAGAAAGGACAAAAGAGUCACUUCCAGGAAGACUGACAAGUGGGUCAGCGUGGCAUGUUGGAUAGGAGAAAUAUACAAAAUCACAUCCUCAUAUCUCUGUUUAGCAUCAGAACUCGUAUUGAACUUUCAUCAACCAACGGUGCAUCAUGCCACAGGAGAAACAAAAAUGUCAGAGGCAGCUGGAAGACGCCACAGACGCAUUCGACGAUUUAAACUGACAAAGGAGCCGUUGUCCUGCUGCUUUCAUGACUCUGGUGUUUGUGAGCCCGCAGGCAGGUUGUCAGAUGCACAACAGCACCGAGACGUAUUGAAAUCUGCAGCAUAUCUGAUAAUGAAUGUGGAGCCGCGCAGUUUCUGCGCUCAUAAUAAAAUACUAGUUUGGGGAUGUCAUUGUUACAUGAAGUUAAAGUGACAAACGGAGGAGAAAAGCAGCUUUGACAGCUUGUUGUGUUGCUGGAUAAUUGUUUGUUUUGACAAGAUGAUAAAUUAACAGUUUUCUAUGAAAUGUUUAUUUUUGGAUGUCAGGAGAAAAGCUUGUUGUGUAUAGGUCACGUAGGAACUUUCUUGUGAUCACAAGCAAACAAAGUAACAAAGACGGUUGAUUUGAGUUUUAAAGGAGCGGAGAGUUUUUCUUUUACAACCUCUGUCCUAUUUUUAUUUUUAAGCAUUUUUGUCAAGCUUUAAAUGUAGUAAAGUUAUCUUUUAUCCAGGGUUUUGUGGCUUUCAAUGCCAUAUACCAUUAAGAAUUUUUAUUUUACGAGUGAGAAAAAAAAAUUGCAGGAGUGAGAGCAAAUAAAAGUGAUAGAAGCAGAUUAUCUGUGCAUAGAGAUGGAGCUGAUCCAGUUUGGGACGUAAAGCCAUAAGUCAAAAAUCCAUUAAGUCAGGGAAAAGAAAAAAGAUUUUAAUAUUAAUAAAGAGAAAUUAGAUUUUAGGAGCUCUAUUACAGCCUUAGAAUAUAUUGUCACACUCUUAAGAGCCACUUUUCCUCCUCUUGUUUGUGGUGCUUAGUCUGAUUUUGCUUAAUAAUUGGAGCUGUAGUGUUUAACCAAGAACUUACUCAAAAUUUCUCAACUGGUUGGCAUAAAAACUUUCACAUAUAAUCUUAUUUUUAGGCACUUUAAGCUUUUGUCAACGUAUGCAGACAUAUUCAUACAACUUGAACUCUUUCAAUAUUUUUUUUAUUUUGCAGCUUUAAACUCCAACUUCAAACCUGCCGAGUUUGUGACUGUCCAAUCCAACUGACAACUAGGGUAAGAAAGAUAGCCUCUCGUCCCCAUGAUAGUGCAGUCGACAGACUGAGAAUCCAGGAAACCUCUGCGGAUGUUUUGAGUUAGAUGAUUAGUCCAUACCACAAUGAGUUUCCAAAAUGUUUUUCAAUAUAUUCUAAUUUUCUGAGAUACUCAAUUUUAUGAUCUGUAAAACAUAAUCAUCGGUAAUACAAGAAAAAAAAAGGCUUGAAAUAUUUCACUUUGUGUUUAAUGAAAUAAUAUGAGCUUCAGGUUCCUAAAUGAGUGGCAAAACGUUUUUACCAUAUUCUAUUUUUCUGAUAUUCUGUAUAUCUGCAUGAAUCAAUAGAUGUGGGGCCUGAAACAAUAACUGCUGAGUUUCUGCACCACUUUCUACUCUGAAAAUGACUUGAGGAACGCCAAAGUGGUGAAGUGACUCUGAAAUGCAAGAAUUUGUAUUUCUGUGUCCACCUUCUAUAUGCUGCAAACUUACAUUUACAACCACAUAAAGAAGAUGCCUUGCAGACAGUUGUUAAAUCUGAACCCAAUAUUAACAUCUUCUGUACAAAAUACGUGUUUCUUUUUUAUGAUGAUUAAAUGGCUUCACAACUCAUCAAGAGGGCUGCUAAUAAACUCUUUAAAAGUGCUACAACUAAGAA